AGUGGCAGACGGGUGAGUAACAUGUGGGUAUCUACCCUUUGGCCUGGAAUAACACGAGGAAACUUGUGCUAAUACCGGAUAAGUCUUUACGGAGAAAGCUUUAUGCACCAUUGAAUGAGCCCGCACUUGAUUAGUUUGUUGGUAGGGUAAUGGCCUACCAAGACUAUGAUCAAUAGCUGAUUUGAGAGGAUGAUCAGCCACAUUGGGACUGAGACACGGCCCAAACUCCUACGGGAGGCAGCAGUGGGGAAUCUUGCACAAUGGAGGAAAUUCUGAUGCAGCGAUGCCGCGUGAGUGAAGAAGGCCCUUGGGUUGUAAAGCUCUUUCGUCGGGGAAGAAAAUGACUGUACCCGAAUAAGAAGGUCCGGCUAACUUCGUGCCAGCAGCCGCGGUAAUACGAAGGGACCUAGCGUAGUUCGGAAUUACUGGGCUUAAAGAGUUCGUAGGUGGUUGAAAAAGUUGGUGGUGAAAUCCCAGAGCUUAACUCUGGAACUGCCAUCAUAACUUUUCAGCUAGAGUAUGAUAGAGGAAAGCAGAAUUUCUAGUGUAGAGGUGAAAUUCGUAGAUAUUAGAAAGAAUACCAACUGCGAAGGCAGCUUUCUGGGUCAUUACUGACACUGAGGAACGAAAGCAUGGGUAGCGAAGAGGAUUAGAUACCCUCGUAGUCCAUGCCGA
RNAcentral lists this ribosomal RNA (675 nucleotides) under uncultured bacterium. RNAcentral describes it as "bacterial SSU rRNA". It matches the Rfam family "Bacterial small subunit ribosomal RNA", at positions 94 to 803 of the family's 1533-position model. The record is from RNAcentral.